Molecule: long non-coding RNA, 344 nt
Filed under: Hordeum vulgare
Lineage: Eukaryota; Viridiplantae; Streptophyta; Magnoliopsida; Poales; Poaceae
Description: long non-coding RNA (HVUL_LNC020465)
Source: RNAcentral
UUUAUCAAAAAAGGAGCAAAAUAACUUACGAAGUGGUGCGCUGUUGUAGCUCCCUCGUGUGCUAUGUGGCUCGACCACGAAGUGGUGCGCCCGUUGUAGCUCGCUCGUGUGCUAUGUGGCUCGACCACAGUGGUGCUAAGUUCUUGCAGAAGCACCGAAGACCGGGAGGAGGAGAGGCUGCCAAGCAUGGCCUACCGCCAAGUAAAUAUCAUUUAUUUAUGGAGAAGAGGGUAUUACAUAUGAUUUUCUAUGAGGCAGUUCAGUUUAUUGGACGGAAAAACAUACCCUGGACAAUAUGUUGUAUGGAGAACACAUCCCAAUCCUUGAUGAGAAUACAUUGUUUG